Molecule: ribosomal RNA, 460 nt
Filed under: uncultured bacterium
Lineage: Bacteria
Description: partial 16S ribosomal RNA
Rfam family: Bacterial small subunit ribosomal RNA
Source: RNAcentral
CCUACGAGUGGCUGCAGUGAGGAAUAUUGGUCAAUGGGCGCGAGCCUGAACCAGCCAAGCAGCGUGAAGGAUGACUGCCCUACGGGUUGUAAACUUCUUUUAUAAAGGAAUAAAGUGAGGCACGUGUGCCUUUUUGUAUGUACUUUAUGAAUAAGGAUCGGCUAACUCCGUGCCAGCAGCCGCGGUAAUACGGAGGAUCCGAGCGUUAUCCGGAUUUAUUGGGUUUAAAGGGAGCGUAGAUGGGUUGUUAAGUCAGUUGUGAAAGUUUGCGGCUCAACCGUAAAAUUGCAAUUGAUACUGGCAGUCUUGAGUACAGUUGAGGUAGGCGGAAUUCGUUGUGUAGCGGUGAAAUGCUUAGAUAUCACGAAGAACUCCGAUUGCGAAGGCAGCUUACUAAACUGCCACUGACAUUGAUGCUCGAAAGUGUGGGUAUCAAACAGGAUUAGAUACCCCAGUAGUC